This 468-nucleotide ribosomal RNA is filed under the name uncultured bacterium. Its description in RNAcentral is "partial 16S ribosomal RNA". It matches the Rfam family "Bacterial small subunit ribosomal RNA", at positions 28 to 507 of the family's 1533-position model. The record is from RNAcentral.
GACGAACGCUGGCGGCGUGCUUAACACAUGCAAGUCGAACGGAAAGGCCCUGCUUUUGUGGGGUGCUCGAGUGGCGAACGGGUGAGUAACACGUGAGUAACCUGCCCUUGACUUUGGGAUAACUUCAGGAAACUGGGGCUAAUACCGGAUAGGAGCUCCUGCUGCAUGGUGGGGGUUGGAAAGUUUCGGCGGUUGGGGAUGGACUCGCGGCUUAUCAGCUUGUUGGUGGGGUAGUGGCUUACCAAGGCUUUGACGGGUAGCCGGCCUGGGAGGGUGACCGGCCACAUUGGGACUGCGAUACGGACCAGACUCCUACGGGAGGCAGCAGUGGGGAAUCUUGCACAAUGGGCGGAAGCCUGAUGCAGCAACGCCGCGUGCGGGAUGACGGCCUUCGGGUUGUAAACCGCUUUCGCCUGUGACGAAGCGUGAGUGACGGUAAUGGGUAAAGAAGCACCGGCUAACUACGUG